RNAcentral lists this ribosomal RNA (169 nucleotides) under Nuchequula gerreoides. Its description in RNAcentral is "partial 12S rRNA". The record is from RNAcentral. Lineage: Eukaryota; Metazoa; Chordata; Actinopteri; Chaetodontiformes; Leiognathidae.
CACCGCGGUUAUACGAGAGACCCAAAUUGACAGUACCCGGCAUAAAGUGUGGUUAAGAAACAAACACAAUAAGGCCGAACUCUUUCAAGGCUGUUAUACGCAACCGAAAUAAAGAAGAUCAACAACGAAAGUGACCUUAGCCCAAUCUGAACCCACGAAAGCUAGGAAA